CAGCGCCACGAGUGGGGAUCACGAUUAUUGGGCCUAAAGCGUCCGUAGCCGGCUUGAUAAAUCUCUUGUGAAAUCGUUUGGCUCAACCAAACGGCGAGCAGGAGACACUAUUAAGCUUGAGACCGGGAAGGGUUAGAGGUAUGUUUGGGGGAGCGGUAAAAUGCUAUAAUCCCUUACAGACCAAUGGUGGCGAAGGCGUCUAACUAGAACGGAUCUGACGGUGAGGGACGAAAGCCAGGGGAGCAAUCCGGAUUAGAUACCCGAGUAGUCC
Molecule: ribosomal RNA, 271 nt
Filed under: uncultured archaeon
Lineage: Archaea
Description: partial 16S ribosomal RNA
Rfam family: Archaeal small subunit ribosomal RNA
Source: RNAcentral